RNAcentral lists this ribosomal RNA (68 nucleotides) under Staphylococcus aureus. Its description in RNAcentral is "partial 16S ribosomal RNA". It matches the Rfam family "Bacterial small subunit ribosomal RNA", at positions 1 to 64 of the family's 1533-position model. Lineage: Bacteria; Bacillati; Bacillota; Bacilli; Caryophanales; Staphylococcaceae. The record is from RNAcentral.
AAUUUUUAUGGAGAGUUUGAUCCUGGCUCAGGAUGAACGCUGGCGGCGUGCCUCAUACAUCCAAGCCG